UACGUAGGGACCAAGCGUUGGUCGGAUUUACUGGGCGUAAAGGGCGCGUAGGCGGCGCGGUAAGUCACUUGUGAAAUCUCUGAGCUUAACUCAGAACGGCCAAGUGAUACUGCAGUGCUAGAGUGCAGAAAGGGCAAUCGGAAUUCUUGGUGUAGCGGUGAAAUGCGUAGAUAUCAAGAGGAACACCUGAGGCGAAGGCGGGUUGCUAGGCUGACACUGACGCUGAGUGCGCGAAAGCCAGGGGAGCAAACGGG
This 254-nucleotide ribosomal RNA is filed under the name uncultured bacterium. RNAcentral describes it as "partial 16S ribosomal RNA". It matches the Rfam family "Bacterial small subunit ribosomal RNA", at positions 524 to 776 of the family's 1533-position model. The record is from RNAcentral.